This 328-nucleotide unclassified non-coding RNA is filed under the name soil metagenome. Its description in RNAcentral is "partial contains 5.8S ribosomal RNA, internal transcribed spacer 2, and large subunit ribosomal RNA". The stretch from base 1 to 119 matches the Rfam family "5.8S ribosomal RNA", at positions 35 to 154 of the family's 154-position model. The record is from RNAcentral.
GAUGAAGACGUAGCGAAAUGCGAUAAGUAGUGUGAAUUGCAGAAUUCAGUGAAUCAUCGAAUCUUUGAACGCACAUUGCGCCCCUUGGUAUCCCGAGGGGCAUGCCUGUUCGAGCGUCAUUUCACCACUCAAGCCUGGCUUGGUGUUGGGCGACGUCCCCUUUAGGGACGCGCCUCGAAACGCUCGGCGGCGUGGCACCGGCUUUAAGCGUAGCAGAAUCUUUCGCUUUGGAAGUCGGGGCCCCGCCUGCCGGAAUACCUACUCGUAAGGUUGACCUCGGAUCAGGCAGGGAUACCCGCUGAACUUAAGCAUAUCAAUAAGCGGAGGA